Molecule: ribosomal RNA, 495 nt
Filed under: uncultured bacterium
Lineage: Bacteria
Description: partial 16S ribosomal RNA
Rfam family: Bacterial small subunit ribosomal RNA
Source: RNAcentral
GAUGAACGCUGGCGGCGUGCCUAAUACAUGCAAGUAGAACGCUGAAGGAGGAGCUUGCUCUUCUGGAUGAGUUGCGAACGGGUGAGUAACGCGUAGGUAACCUGCCUGGUAGCGGGGGAUAACUAUUGGAAACGAUAGCUAAUACCGCAUGACAACAGUUAUUGCAUGAUAACUGUUUAAAAGGGGCAACUGCUCCACUACCAGAUGGACCUGCGUUGUAUUAGCUAGUUGGUGAGGUAACGGCUCACCAAGGCGACGAUACAUAGCCGACCUGAGAGGGGGAGCGGCCACACUGGGACUGAGACACGGCCCAGACUCCUACGGGAGGCAGCAGUAGGGAAUCUUCGGCAAUGGACGGAAGUCUGACCGAGCAACGCCGCGGGAGUGAAGAAGGGUUUCGGAUCGUAAAGCUCGGUUGUAAGAGAAGAACGAGUGUGAGAGUGGAAAGUUCACACUGUGACGGUAUCUUACCAGAAAGGGACGGCUAACUACGUG